AUGGGACCCAUGGGGAGAUGGAGAGAAGUAUGGCCUGCCUGCUUCACGGCAGUGAGCAGUGGCAGCGGGCAUCAAACACGCAGGACAUUUAUGCGCCCUAAUAAAACAGCAGCUGUAAUUUUCUCUCUGUUCCUUGGCAGAACCUUGGGGACCAGUGUGCCCUCUGAGUCACCUCUGGAAGGAAUGAUUCUCCCAGCAUUCCUCUUUGGAGAUCCAGGGAGCCCAAGCCGCUGGGAAGCCUGGCUGAGUCAUGGUGCUUGCGGGGUUGGAAACCACCUUAAUGUCACAUCGCUUUCCUGCUCUGCCAGCACAUCACAGUUGUCACAUGAGCAGGCCAGAAAGGCCAUCCUGUUCCUGUGGCAGGCAUUUGUGAAUGGGGAAAGUGGGCCAAUCCUGUGGCUGCUGCGUCGAGUGGCCUCUCUGAUGUGGCAGGGCUGGAUGGCAUUGCUGUGAGCCUCAACACCAUAGGCUGCAGUGCUCUCAGCAGAGUUGUAAUACUGAGUGAAGGUUGCAGAAAUGGCAUGGCUGAAGGGGUCCCCUGCCUUAGUUACCAUGUCUUGCCUCACAAGAAGAGCCAGAUCCACUAACUGUGCCACAGUUUCACAUGCUAAAUAUGCUAAAAUUUCCAUAGUGACAACAUUGGGUUUUAUCUCCAUACUGCUGCAGUCCCACCAGUCUUGGAAUUUGGAAGCUUUUUUGGAGAAACUUAAUGGUCGACUUUCACAGAAUUCUGCAUAUUGAGCGGAAUCCAUAAUUCAAGUGUGUCUUUCUGCUCUCUCCAUUCUUUCUUGUUGUCACCCUGUAAGGAAGUCGACAUGGCUAGGGAUGCUUCAGGAAACUUACAGUCACGGUGGAAGGGGAAGCAAACGUGUCCUUCAUGUGGUGGCAGGAGAGAGAAGUGCCAAGCAAAGUGGGAAAAGCCCCUUAGAAAACCAUCAGAUCUCGUGAGAACUCACUAUCACAAGAAUGGCAUGAGGGUCACCUCCCCCACGAUCCAAUUACCACCCACUGAGUCCCUCCCACAUGUGGAGAUUAUAGGAACUACAAUUCAAGAUGAGAUGUGG
RNAcentral lists this long non-coding RNA (1064 nucleotides) under Callithrix jacchus (white-tufted-ear marmoset). Its description in RNAcentral is "lncRNA (ENSCJAG00000077485.1)". Lineage: Eukaryota; Metazoa; Chordata; Mammalia; Primates; Cebidae. The record is from RNAcentral.